RNAcentral lists this ribosomal RNA (500 nucleotides) under uncultured bacterium. Its description in RNAcentral is "partial 16S ribosomal RNA". It matches the Rfam family "Bacterial small subunit ribosomal RNA", at positions 899 to 1397 of the family's 1533-position model. The record is from RNAcentral.
ACUCAAAUGAAUAGACGGGGGCCCGCACAAGCGGUGGAGCAUGUGGUUUAAUUCGACGCAACGCGAAGAACCUUACCCGGGUUUGAACUGUAGUGGACAGGUGCAGAGAUGUGCCCUUCCCUUCGGGGACUGCUGCAGAGGUGCUGCAUGGCUGUCGUCAGCUCGUGUCGUGAGAUGUUGGGUUAAGUCCCGCAACGAGCGCAACCCUUACUCUUAGUUGCUAACACGUAAUGGUGAGCACCCUAAGAGAACUGUCGGCGAAAAGCCGGAGGAAGGUGGGGAUGACGUCAAGUCCUCAUGGCCUUUAUGUCCGGGGCUACACACGUGCUACAAUGGGCGGUACAAAGGGUUGCCAAAUCGCAAGGUUCAGCUAAUCCCAAAAAGCCGCUCUCAGUUCGGAUUGAAGUCUGCAACUCGACUUCAUGAAGUCGGAAUCGCUAGUAAUCGCGGAUCAGCACGCCGCGGUGAAUACGUUCCCGGGCCUUGUACACACCGCCCGU